This 876-nucleotide ribosomal RNA is filed under the name uncultured crenarchaeote. RNAcentral describes it as "bacterial SSU rRNA". It matches the Rfam family "Archaeal small subunit ribosomal RNA", at positions 21 to 903 of the family's 1478-position model. Lineage: Archaea; Thermoproteati; Thermoproteota. The record is from RNAcentral.
ACCUGACUGCUAUCGGAUUGAUACUAAGCCAUGCGAGUCAUUGUAGCAAUACAAGGCAUACGGCUCAGUAACGCGUAGUCAACCUAACCUAUGGACGGGAAUAACCUCGGGAAACUGAGAAUAAUGCCCGAUAGAACAUUAUGCCUGGAAUGGUUUAUGUUCCAAAUGAUUUAUCGCCAUAGGAUGGGACUGCGGCCUAUCAGUUUGUUGGUGAGGUAAUGGCCCACCAAGACUAUUACAGGUACGGGCUCUGAGAGGAGUAGCCCGGAGAUGGGUACUGAGACACGGACCCAGGCCCUAUGGGGCGUAGCAGGCGAGAAAACUUUGCAAUGUGCGAAAGCACGACAAGGUUAAUCCGAGUGAUUUCUGCUAAAGAGAUCUUUUGUUAGUCCUAGAAACACUAACGAAUAAGGGGUGGGCAAGUUCUGGUGUCAGCCGCCGCGGUAAAACCAGCACCUCAAGUGGUCAGGAUGAUUAUUGGGCCUAAAGCAUCCGUAGCCGGCUCUGUAAGUUUUCGGUUAAAUCUGUACGCUCAACGUACAGGCUGCCGGGAAUACUGCAGAACUAGGGAGUGGGAGAGGUAGACGGUACUCGGUAGGAAGUGGUAAAAUGCUUUGAUCUAUCGAUGACCACCUGUGGCGAAGGCGGUCUACCAGAACACGUCCGACGGUGAGGGAUGAAAGCUGGGGGAGCAAACCGGAUUAGAUACCCGGGUAGUCCCAGCUGUAAACUAUGCAAACUCAGUGAUGCAUUGGCUUGUGGCCAAUGCAGUGCUGCAGGGAAGCCGUUAAGUUUGCCGCCUGGGAAGUACGUACGCAAGUAUGAAACUUAAAGGAAUUGGCGGGGGAGCACCACAAGGGGUGAAGCCUGCGGUUC